This 254-nucleotide ribosomal RNA is filed under the name uncultured bacterium. RNAcentral's name for it is "partial 16S ribosomal RNA". It matches the Rfam family "Bacterial small subunit ribosomal RNA", at positions 524 to 776 of the family's 1533-position model. The record is from RNAcentral.
CACGUAGGGGGCGAGCGUUGUCCGGAUUUAUUGGGCGCAAAGAGCUCGUAGGCGGCUCAGUAAGUCGGGUGUGAAAACUCCAGGCUCAACCUGGAGACGCCACCUGAUACUGCUGUGGCUAGAGUCCGGUAGGGGAGCAUGGAAUUCCUGGUGUAGCGGUGAAAUGCGCAGAUAUCAGGAGGAACACCAGUGGCGAAGGCGGCUCGCUGGGACGUUACUGACGCUGAGACGCGAAAGCGUGGGGAGCAAACAGG